RNAcentral lists this unclassified non-coding RNA (282 nucleotides) under plant metagenome. Its description in RNAcentral is "partial contains small subunit ribosomal RNA, internal transcribed spacer 1, and 5.8S ribosomal RNA". The record is from RNAcentral.
UUUCCGUAGGUGAACCUGCGGAAGGAUCAUUGUCGAAACCUGCCCAGCAGAACGACCCGCGAACUUGUGUAAACAACCGGGGGCGGGGGGCGUUCUCGCCCCGUGCCCCCGAACGGCGGGGAGACACUCGUGCCUUCUUGCCGAACAACGAACCCCGGCGCGGUCUGCGCCAAGGAACUUCAACUAAAGAGUGCCUCCGGUCGCCUCGGAAACGGCGUGCGUGCCGGGGGCGAAUCUUGUGCAAAACCAUAACGACUCUCGGCAACGGAUAUCUCGGCUCUC